Molecule: ribosomal RNA, 327 nt
Filed under: uncultured eukaryote
Lineage: Eukaryota
Description: partial 18S ribosomal RNA
Rfam family: Eukaryotic small subunit ribosomal RNA
Source: RNAcentral
CCCUUAGAUGGUCUGGGCCGCACGCGCGCUACACUGACGAAUGCAACGAGCUUAUAACCUUGGCCGAAAGGUCUGGGUAAUCUCCAAAUUUCGUCGUGAUGGGGAUAGAUUAUUGCAAUUAUUAAUCUUCAACGAGGAAUGCCUAGUAAGCGCAAGUCAUCAGCUUGCGUUGAUUACGUCCCUGCCCUUUGUACACACCGCCCGUCGCUCCUACCGAUUGAAUGGUCCGGUGAAGCGUUCGGACCGUGGCCUUUGGACGGUUCGCCGUCUGUUGGCUGCGGGAAGUUCGUUAAACCUUAUCAUUUAGAGGAAGGAGAAGUCGUAACA